AGUCUAGUCUGUAUCAUGAUCUAACCAUGCCUGURAUGGAAGCACCCAAGGGAGACUAGCCUGAAUCACAAGAGGGCCAUGAAGAAACUGGGAGAACGUUCCAGAAGAACUGAAGGGCACCUGCAGCGUAGGAGAGUGCCCUAGGGCUCCAGGAGAUGAAGAUUUCAGUUUCUUGGGAACAAGCAGUGUGUCACUAUAGAUACGAAGAAUGCCUGACACAGGCAGCACAGUUUACAGCUGUAGAAGAGAGAGAAGCUGUAGAACUCUGUUUAUUGAACAACAACUUUCCUCCACCAGAUCCUGCACACCCUCAGAGCCUGGGAAUGUCCUGCCUCUGACUCUGAUCAUUGACGCAGUUUGCAUCUCACCUCUUCCUGAGUGAGAGGAUGAGGCUCUGGGGCACUCCUACGGAGAGGAACACCCGACUCAGGCUGUGCGAGUGAGAACCGCCUCUGGGAUCCCUCUGAUAACCUCUGCUGCUGAUGAGGACAGUUCACACGCCCAGCUCUACCAGGCUGAUCUUGACCAGCUCUGGGUACCAAGCAUCACUCCAGAGGCAUCCAAGUCUGAACCCGAAAGAGCAACCUGCCCAGCACCAAGGCUCUGUUUUGUGUCAAAGAGUCUCUUGCCUUGAUGACAAAGUGUCAACAUAUGUUGUAGUGUUUUAUAUAUACACAUAUUUUAUUGAAAGCUGCUGCAACAUUCUUGGAUCUGAAGGCUUUGGAUCCAAAGCCUUGGAUUGGAUGACAGAGAGAACGAGGGUUGGAGGGACACAUGACCCGUGAAGGUUCCAGAAAGCUUUGCCUCAUUCUAACAGUGCAAAGGAGGCGUUA
Long non-coding RNA from Nothoprocta perdicaria, 833 nucleotides. RefSeq lists it as uncharacterized. Lineage: Eukaryota; Metazoa; Chordata; Aves; Tinamiformes; Tinamidae. The record is from RefSeq and is a predicted model, not a curated record. The transcript has 4 exons.